UAAUACCAGCACCUCGAGUGGUCAGGACGUUUAUUGGGCCUAAAGCAUCCGUAGCCGGCUCUGCAAGUCUUCGGUUAAAUCCACCUGCUCAACAGAUGGGCUGCUGGAGAUACUACAGAGCUAGGGAGUGGGAGAGGCAGACGGUAUUCAGUGGGUAGGGGUAAAAUCCUCUGAUCCAUUGAGGACCACCAGUGGCGAAGGCGGUCUGCCAGAACACGUUCGACGGUGAGGGAUGAAAGCUGGGGGAGCAAACCGGAUUAGAUACCCGGGUAGUCCCAGCUGUAAACGAUGCAAACUCGGUGAUGCAUUGGCUUAUGGCCAAUGCAGUGCCGCAGGGAAGCCGUUAAGUUUGCCGCCUGGGAAGUACGGACGCAAGUCUGAAACUUAAAGGAAUUGACGGUAUCGU
RNAcentral lists this ribosomal RNA (406 nucleotides) under uncultured archaeon. Its description in RNAcentral is "bacterial SSU rRNA". It matches the Rfam family "Archaeal small subunit ribosomal RNA", at positions 471 to 877 of the family's 1478-position model. The record is from RNAcentral.